Molecule: ribosomal RNA, 490 nt
Filed under: uncultured bacterium
Lineage: Bacteria
Description: partial 16S ribosomal RNA
Rfam family: Bacterial small subunit ribosomal RNA
Source: RNAcentral
AUUGAACGCUGGCGGCAGGCCUAACACAUGCAAGUCGAACGGUAACAGGAAACAGCUUGCUGUUUCGCUGACGAGUGGCGGACGGGUGAGUAAUGUCUGGGAAACUGCCUGAUGGAGGGGGAUAACUACUGGAAACGGUAGCUAAUACCGCAUAACGUCGCAAGCCCAAAGAGGGGGACCUUCGGGCCUCUUGCCAUCGGAUGUGCCCAGAUGGGAUUAGCUAGUAGGUGGGGUAACGGCUCACCUAGGCGACGAUCCCUAGCUGGUCUGAGAGGAUGACCAGCCACACUGGAACUGAGACACGGUCCAGACUCCUACGGGAGGCAGCAGUGGGGAAUAUUGCACAAUGGGCGCAAGCCUGAUGCAGCCAUGCCGCGUGUAUGAAGAAGGCCUUCGGGUUGUAAAGUACUUUCAGCGGGGAUGAAGGGAGUAAAGUUAAUACCUUUGCUAAUUGACGUUACCCGCAGAAGAAGCACCGGCUAACUCCGUG